UACGGAGGGAGCUAGCGUUGUUCGGAAUCACUGGGCGUAAAGCGCACGUAGGCGGCUUUGUAAGUUAGAGGUGAAAUCCCGGGGCUCAACCCCGGAACUGCCUUUGAUACUGGGUAUCUGGAGUCCGGAAGAGGUGAGUGGAAUUCCGAGUGUAGAGGUGAAAUUCGUAGAUAUUCGGAGGAACACCAGUGGCGAAGGCGGCUCACUGGUCCGGUACUGACGCUGAGGUGCGAAAGCGUGGGGAGCAAACAGGAUUAGAAACCCGGGUAGU
RNAcentral lists this ribosomal RNA (271 nucleotides) under uncultured bacterium. RNAcentral's name for it is "partial 16S ribosomal RNA". It matches the Rfam family "Bacterial small subunit ribosomal RNA", at positions 524 to 794 of the family's 1533-position model. The record is from RNAcentral.